Molecule: long non-coding RNA, 253 nt
Filed under: Lathyrus oleraceus (garden pea)
Lineage: Eukaryota; Viridiplantae; Streptophyta; Magnoliopsida; Fabales; Fabaceae
Description: Pisum sativum (pea) long non-coding RNA (PSAT_LNC021691)
Source: RNAcentral
AAGAUCAUAUCUCAUCAAUGGCACAUGAUAAAAUUGCAAACUCAACACCAAAAUGUCCAGCAUGAAGUCUAGUUUAAGCAUGUAAAAUUUCAAAAAGCAUACAUGUUAACAUUCCCUAGGCCAAACAAUUUUACAACCAAGCACAACUUCUGGAAAAAUAAUAAAAAAAAACUAGAAACAAUAAGGAGAACAACGCAAAAAUUCUCAUAUUAUUUGGAUUAUUAAUCAAUUAUUUAUGAAUUUAUGAAGUGAA